GGUUAUGUUGGGUCGAGUCACGUUCGAAAUGAUGUAAGGUUAGAUGGGCAGACUCAUGUUCAAAAUGGCGUGUGGCUGGAUGGGCCGAGUUACAAUUGAGAUCCGUGGGCGCUGUAUCUGUACGCUUUAAGUAAAUUGAUUGCGUAUUUCUAACAACUUGAACUUUUGGGAUUAAUGGUUAGUGCCAACAAUCCGACAACUAGUAUCAGAGCCAGAGAUCACAGGUUCGAUUCCCGUUACUGUAAAUAUGUGCAAGUGCUGGAGGGAGGGAUUGUUGGCUUAAAUGGACCAGCAUCCUGUCUUGUCUUGUUGCGGGAGGCUAUGUUGGCUUUAAGUGAAUUGAUUGCGUAUUUCUAACAGCUCGAGCUUUUGGAAUUAAUGGUUAGCGCCAAUGGGCUCAGGUGCUGGAGGGG
This 413-nucleotide long non-coding RNA is filed under the name Ananas comosus (pineapple). RNAcentral's name for it is "long non-coding RNA (ACOM_LNC005972)". Lineage: Eukaryota; Viridiplantae; Streptophyta; Magnoliopsida; Poales; Bromeliaceae. The record is from RNAcentral.